UGACUCUCUUAAGGUAGC
This 18-nucleotide small nuclear RNA is filed under the name Arabidopsis thaliana (thale cress). Its description in RNAcentral is "snRNA_18410". The record is from RNAcentral. Lineage: Eukaryota; Viridiplantae; Streptophyta; Magnoliopsida; Brassicales; Brassicaceae.